AUGAACGCUGGCGGUAUGCUUAACACAUGCAAGUCGAACGGACUCUUCGGAGUUAGUGGCGGACGGGUGAGUAACGCGUGAGAAUCUGGCUUUGGGUUCGGGACAACCACUGGAAACGGUGGCUAAUACCGGAUGUGCCGAGAGGUAAAAGAGAAAUUGCCUGAAGAUGAGCUCGCGUCUGAUUAGCUAGUUGGUGAGGUAAAGGCUCACCAAGGCAGCGAUCAGUAGCUGGUCUGAGAGGAUGACCAGCCACACUGGGACUGAGACACGGCCCAGACUCCUACGGGAGGCGGCAGUGGGGAAUUUUCCGCAAUGGGCGAAAGCCUGACGGAGCAAUACCGCGUGAGGGAAGAAGGCUCUUGGGUUGUAAACCUCUUUUCUUAGGGAAGAACAAAAUGACGGUACCUAAGGAAUCAGCAUCGGCUAACUCCGUG
RNAcentral lists this ribosomal RNA (434 nucleotides) under uncultured bacterium. Its description in RNAcentral is "partial 16S ribosomal RNA". It matches the Rfam family "Bacterial small subunit ribosomal RNA", at positions 29 to 507 of the family's 1533-position model. The record is from RNAcentral.